AGGAUAAACGCUGGCGGCGUGCCUAAUGCAUGCAAGUCGAACGAGGCAGCUUUCGGGCUGUCGAGUGGCGGACGGGUGAGGAACACGUACGAAACCUGCCCUUUGGUGGGGAAUAAGCCUGCGAAAGCGGGUCUAAUGCCGCAUACGCUCACAGGCCGACGGGGCUGUGAGGAAAGGCUUAGGUUGCCGAAGGAGGGGCGUGCGGCCGAUUAGCUAGUUGGUGGGGUAAUGGCCUACCAAGGCGACGAUCGGUAGCUGGUCUGAGAGGAUGAUCAGCCACACUGGGACUGAGAUACGGCCCAGACUCCUACGGGAGGCAGCAGCAGGGAAUCUUGCGCAAUGGGCGAAAGCCUGACGCAGCAACGCCGCGUGGGUGAUGGAAGGCUCGUUGGGUCGUAAAGCCCUUUUCGUGGGGGACGAAGACUGACGGUACCCCAGGAAGAAGCCACGGCUAACGUACGUGCCAGCAGCCGCGGUAA
Molecule: ribosomal RNA, 479 nt
Filed under: uncultured bacterium
Lineage: Bacteria
Description: SSU rRNA
Rfam family: Bacterial small subunit ribosomal RNA
Source: RNAcentral